CACGUAGGGAGCAAGCGUUGUCCGGAUUUAUUGGGCGUAAAGAGCUCGUAGGCGGCUUGUCACGUCGAUUGUGAAAGCCCGAGGCUUAACCUCGGGUCUGCAGUCGAUACGGGCUAGCUAGAGUGUGGUAGGGGAGAUCGGAAUUCCUGGUGUAGCGGUGAAAUGCGCAGAUAUCAGGAGGAACACCGGUGGCGAAGGCGGAUCUCUGGGCCAUUACUGACGCUGAGGAGCGAAAGCGUGGGGAGCGAACAGG
RNAcentral lists this ribosomal RNA (253 nucleotides) under uncultured bacterium. RNAcentral's name for it is "partial 16S ribosomal RNA". It matches the Rfam family "Bacterial small subunit ribosomal RNA", at positions 524 to 776 of the family's 1533-position model. The record is from RNAcentral.